CCAAAGUCAGACACUUAACUGACUGAGGCACCCAGGCGCCCCAUCACACAGGGCUUUGUCUUAACUCUCCUGGCAGUCAGAGAAGGCUCCACAGAGGAGGUGACAUUUGAACAGGGCCAGCUUGAAGGAUAAGACAUUCACUGGACAGACAAGAGUAGAAAGGAGUUCUAGAAAGAGGGAAUAGCAUGUACGAUGGAAAUUACAAGAGAAACCUCAGAGAUGUUACUUAACCUCUUUGAGGCAUAUACAUUCACUUAGCAAAUAGUAGGUACUUUAAAAAUGUCAAUUUCCUCCCCAUCUCCCCCAGCCUCGAAACACUUUUGGUGAUGGGAGAUAAACUGACUGAAUUUAUGUUGGCUCCCCCGGAAAUCCGGGCACAGGACUGGUUUCCCUGGAUGCUGAGCUGCAGGUUUUGACUCCGAGCCCCUUCCUAAGGCCCAGGCAUGGCAGGUGUCUCUUUGAAAUGAAUAGGGAUGACUUAUUUAAGGUCACAAAAUGAGGCAGAGAAUCUUAGGAUCUAGAACCAGAAACCCCGUCCCCCAGGCAGCUUACGGAAAAGGUCACCUUUGCAACAAACACUCAGAUGCCCCAAGACAUAGAAGUACACAGGGAUACGAGCCUGCACAAAGAUGCAGACAUAUCCUGAUAAAUCGAGUCACACGGACAUGCCAGAGACACACUCACACCCACCAGGACAGCAAUAGACACACAUGGGCACACAUGGAUACCCACUAACAGUCAUUUACACAGAGGUGUAGACACAUACACAGAUCCAUCCAAAGACAUACCUGCCAUAUACACACAAAGACCCAGACCCAGACCCCUACACUCAAAAAUGCGAGAGACAUAGAGACCUCCAUGGAUUCUUCCAGCCACACAGGAGUCAACACACAAAUGCCAACAACUUCCUCCUUCCUCUCACUCUUGCUGAAAGUCUCCAUUUGCCUUAUCAGACGGGGACACGGGCAGUGGGGAAAAGGGGAAACCGUCGCUGGCCCCCUAGCACUCCCAGUCCUGGGAAUGUCUAUCCAACUCCUUGACUUUGGUCCCUUUCUGGUCAGCUCAGAUUCUUCUCCUGAAUAGCCUUCUCUUCAACCAGUUUUAGCCAAAGAUGAGGCCUUUCUAUUCCAAGGGCUUCCUUCUAUCCUCUCCUUUCCUCUGCCAACUUCUCAUUCAUUUCUCUUUAAUAAUUUAUAUAGCAAUCUUGCCUGUUGUAUCUACUCUAUGCCGGGCAGGUAGUUGAGCACGAGGCAGGGAGGGCAUUCAGAGUUUUAUGAACAAGACACAAUCAGAGUUCAUCUUCUUAUCUUGGCAUCAGCAAUUGGCAACGAUUUUAACAUAUCACCUAACCCAACAGCCAUGACACAAAUGGGAAACAAGGCCCAGAGAACACGGUCUGAAGUCAUUCAGCAAUUUGGGGAUAGAGCCGGGAACUGAAUCCAGGAGUCUGAACUAUCUAUGGUUUUGUGCACUUCCGCAUCCUUCUGUCAUGCAUUGGCAGGUACUUCUCAUUUAUCUCUCUCCCUCCCCUUCUCUCUUUCUCCCCCUGAUUUAGCCCUUGCCUUUCUGCCAUUGAUUAUUCUGCUCUGUGCCAGCAAGUCUCCUGCCUGACCACUUACCUGUGAGUACAGAUGGGCUCUGCCCUCCACACCACACAGCCAGAGGCUGAUCUGCUACCAGCAGGGGGAGUUAAGGCAGGCACGCCUGGGGAAGAAGAUUGACCUCAACAGCCAAAGUGUGUGCUUGUCUUUCUGGAACCUAAAUGUCCAAUUGGGAUUUGGAGAAAAGAAAGAGGAAUGAAGUUAGACAGGGAUAUCAGAACCCAUGUUUGCAGUCUAACCCAGGGUCAGUCUCUACUUGUUCGAGUAAUUAUCUUCGCAAGAUACAGAAGACAGUAACCACUCUUCUAGGAGGAGCUUUUUUGUCUUUUAUUAUGCUGACCAAUGCUUAUCAUAAGAUUAUUAGAAAACAUAGAAAUGGAUAAAGAAAAAAUAAAGGUCAUUCAAGAUGCUACCAGCAGAUAAC
Long non-coding RNA from Herpailurus yagouaroundi (jaguarundi), 2025 nucleotides. RefSeq lists it as uncharacterized. The record is from RefSeq and is a predicted model, not a curated record. The transcript has 3 exons. Lineage: Eukaryota; Metazoa; Chordata; Mammalia; Carnivora; Felidae.